UGUCAAUGAUAAAUACACACCAUGAGGCAUUAGUAAGGUAUCAGGGCGUAAUGAAUUCUUCAUUUAAUUAUGGAACAUUACUCCUGCAUUAACACACAUCAUAAUGUAAUUCAUAAAAACAGAUAUAAGUGGUUUUUGUCGUCUUCUGGGUUAAGUCAGCCACUUAUUGCUUACCUGUGCCUUACAAAGGAAACACAGGACAGCUUGAUCUGAAGACUCAAACACAGUCAUGUUCACAAUAGAAGGAAACAAACUCAAAGUGAUACAGAACUUUACAAUAUUAUGAGAUGAAAAUAAAAUCUGUUUGAGGUUUAAAGAAUAAUCAAAUCUAUAAAUGACCAGAGUCUAAGCUGAGGAAAAAAUGUCUUAACUGAAGUUACAGGCUGGACUCAAAGUCUUUCAGAAGGGAAAGUCCACGGUCUCUAUGUCCAACAAUCCCAGCAGGUAAGUCAGGCUAAAACUGGCUCCUGGGAGGAAAAGAGGAGGAAGAAUACAAACACAGAAACAGCAGACUGACCAUACAGAGGUGAGUAACCACCACUAUAAACCACCUGUCCUCUGUAUUUAAAGGAGCCAGCUGUGUUCCAGCAGGGUCCCCUCCAAUGUGGUGUAAGGUGUGGUUAACACAUGCGUAGGUUCUAUACUGACACUGUGUUUUUAUACGGUUGUCCAGGCUUGUCGCUCCUUCCUGUGCCUCUCACUCUUACCCCACUCUUCUUACUUCUAACGCUUUUCCUGUUAUGUUUUUUUCCUCUUUCACCACAUCCAAACGGUCACGGUCUAAUUUCCUGAUGAGUCACUUAAACACUGAGAUUGAAAAUACAGACAAAGUUAUGUCUUCAAAAUAUGACACAUGACUCCAGCAGUACCACACAUGCUCGCUGCAUGUUGUUUCUCCUCUGAGUUUAAUUGUGAAAGUCAUUUGCUAUAAAAAAAAACAUUUUAUUUUGAAGGAUCAACAGGAAAUUAUCAGGGUUUCUCUGUCUAACUUAAGAGCACCAAACCUUUAGUGCAUCAGCAGCUGCGUGUUGUUGUUAACAGGACUUUAACCAGAGAUGAAGAUGUUGCUGCCACUCCUGCUCCUCGUACUCGUUUCCCAGCAUGUCCUGGCUCCAGUGGUGGAGGUGUAUGAGAAGGAAAAAUCUGUCCUGUUGCCUUUCAAGUACUCAGGUUUUAUACCUGAGGACAAUCCCACAGUGCUGUGGACUCGCGAUGAUCUCAACCCGAAAUCUGUCCACCUACGACGAGAAGAAACAGAUGAUCUGAAAGGGCAACAUCAGCGUUACAGAGGGCGCACAUCAAUGAGGCCUGAUGCUCUGGACACUUUAGACUUCAGCCUCACUCUGAGAAAACCCAGACUGACUGAUAGUGGCAACUACACCUGCUCCAUUGGAAAUGAAAGGGAGGAACUGAAACUGACAGACAUACAGCUGCAUGUCAAAGUUACAGGUGACACAAGGAGGACAAGUCCAUGGAGACCUCAAAGGCCUGAGAGCAUCACCAUAUUUGGAUGGAUGCCAGAAAGGGGAACUUCUGUGUCUGCAGUUAAUUCUUAAAAUACAUGAAUGCUCUGUACAUGCAAAUUAUGUGCUUGUAAACGCAAGAGGGGGCGUCAUAAUACCCUGAUGUUAUAAAAGCAAUCUAGAGUGUAUUUUGGGUAGAGAUGUACAACUGAUGUUUUGCAGUUUACACCUCUCCACGCUGCGUGCAUUCAUUAAAAUCAAUUGUUUGACCGACCUCUUCUGGACCAUCAUUGUUUUACUCUCGUCCUCAAUUUCGAACCCGUAACAAAAACAAAAAAACAAAAAACAGGCAAAAAUCCACAGAUGUACAGAAGCAUUUACAGCCUUUGCCGGGACACUAAAAAAUUAGCUCAGUUGAAUCUUGUUCCCUCUGAUAAUCAGUCAGAUGUUUCUUGAUUGGAGUCCACCUGUGGUAGAUGCAGUUGAUUGGACAUGAGUUGGACAGGCACACACCUGUCUCUAUAAGGUCCCAUAGUUGACAGUACCUGUCAGAACACAAAUCGAGCCUUGAAGUCCAAGGAAUUGUCUGCAGACCUCUGAGACAGUAUGCAUUGUAUCAAGGCACAGAUCUGGGGAACAGUCCCGAUGAGCACAGUGGCCUCCGUCAUCUGUAAAUGGAAGAACACCUACCAGGACUCUUUCUAGAGUUGGCUGUCCAGCCCAUCUUAGUGAUUGGCUAGAAGGGCCUUAGUCAGGGAGAUUACCAAAAACCUUAUGGUCACUGUAAGAGAGCUCCAGUGUUGCUCAGUGGAGAGAGGGGAACCUUCCAGAAGGAGAGCUAUAUCUGCAGCACUCAACCAAACAGGGCUGUAUGGUAGAGCAGCCAGACUGAAGCUACACAUGACAGGCUACCUAGAGUUUACCCAAAAGCCCCUGAAGGACUCUCAGAUCAUGAGAAAGAAAAUUCUCUGGUCUAAUGAAACCAAUAUUGAACUCUUUGGUCUGAAUCCCAAGUGUCAUGUCUGAAGAAAACCAGGCAACACUGGUCACUUGGUCAUUACUCUCCCUACAGUGAAACAUGGUGGUGGCAGCAUCAUGCCGUGGGAUAUUUUUCAGUGGAAAGAACUAGAAGAUUUCCUAAAUGCACCAAUGUAUAGACACCUUCUUGAUAAUAAUCUCUUCCAGAGUGCUCUGGACCUUGGACUGGGUGAAGGUUCAUCUUCCAACAGGAAGACAUAGAGACAAGGAGUGCUUUGGGACCACUUUGUGGUAUUUGUUUUUGAGUAGACCAGCCAAAGCCCAGACAAGAACCCAAUCAAACAUCUCUGGAGAGAUUUGAAAAUGGCUGUGCACAAGGGCUGGGUAUUGUCACUGAUUCGAUUUGGAUUCAAUCUUGCCUCAGACAUUCAGAAAUAUUUUAAUUCUGAUCAUUUAUCAAUCAGUACUGACACUUGUGAGACUUCAUCAGAGGAGUAAACAUCACAGCAGAUGCCUUUGUUUCAAAGUAGCUGGCCUGGCUUUUUAUAGCAGAUAACUGCCUCAAAAAUGUUCAGCAAUCAUGAAUCAACAUAUGAACAUUACCUGAUGCUGCUGAAGUGAAGCAGAGCAAAGUUACAGAGUUUUUAUUAGAGACACAGCUAAGAGUUUUGCAAUUUGGCAUCGUUUGUAAAUUUCUUUGGUAUUGAACAGCAGAAUUUAGACUUUUUUGUUGGAGGUCAUUUUUGAAAAAAGAAAAAAAAGCAGCGGCCAACAGCACUGUACACAAUGGUAGACUGGUCCAUAAUAAGCAAGCGAAUAAUGCAGAAAACAGAGAUUUCAGUUUGGAAACUGGUCUCUAAGAACAGAGCUGUGCAGGAAGUGUGAUUUUAUAGUGGUGGAAGCAAAAGCUAAGGGAGGAGGGAAUUAAUGAUGAUGUUUAUCAAAUGCGAAGCGUAGUUUAGAUAUUCUUUUGCUGCUGGUUCAGUGAAUUUUGGUUGGAGAGUGACAAAACCUGUAACAUCAGAAUCUGUGAGAUGUCGGCUUUCAGUCCUGAUGGUGUGUCCGUGUACGUGCCGUCGGUAGGUGCCAAGCUUGCAGCAUCAUACUGAGAAAGACUCAAGGCUGUACUUGCUGCCAAAGUUGCUUCAACAAAGCAGUGAGCAAAACCAAGAACUUAAGGUGACUGUCAUUGAAGGCUCACACUCUGUCAUCCUGCCCUGCAAAACAAAACCUGACCUGCCCGAGGACACCAGAGUGGAGUGGACUCACUCUGAUGGAAAAUUAAUGGUGGUGUAUUCAAACAAUAGUGUUCACCUGAUAGAAUUGGACAAUGUUUCUUGCGGCUGUGGAAUGAUGAAUGAAGACUUACUGGAAACUGGAGACCUCAGUCUGAUCCUGGAAAACCCCACAUAUGACGACACAGGAGGAUACAUCUGUACCAUCUACAGGGAAAAAGACAUCCUGAGACAGAAAGUAGUGCUGCUGGUUGAAGAACCAUGUCCAUCCUGGGACAGAGUUAUUCUGGUUCUCUUGGGCCUCCUGGUUUUCCUGGUUCUCCUGGUUCUUCUUGUGGUUUCUGGAGGUCUCAUAUAUUAUUUCUGUAAGCAUUUUAAUUCAGGUGAGUGUCUCCUACUACACUACCCACAAUGUUGAAGGUUAGCAGGUGUCCUCUGGUGGCUCCUUGACUGUGGCUCACACAAAGUUGAGAGUUACAAACAGCUGAUACAGAGAGCUGAAGAGAAACUUCAAGGUUUGUUCCAGAAGUCAGAAAACCUCCUUCAGACUCAGUCAUUGAUCAGUGAAACAGCUCCACAUCAUGACUUUACUAAACAGUAGACCUUUCUCAAUUCUCAAGUACGGACUCGAGAUUUGUACAGUUGGAAGAGCAGUGUACUUGAUGAUGUCACAGGUCCGGAGUUUUUACUGCCGUCCCCUCUUAAUUUACCUGUGAUUAAUAUGUUAUGAAGCUUAACUUUGAUGUUAGCCAAACCGAUUUUCUCAGGAACAAAUUAAACACUGAAAUAAACCAAACGUUAACAUUUAGAAGUUAUGUAAAAGACUUUUAUAUCAGUUCCUGUUAGGAGUGCAGCAGCAUUUUGAACCAGCUGCAGAUGUGAGAGCAACGACUGACUCACCCCCACCCUCAGUGAGUUACAGUAGUCCAGACAGUGAGAAAUAAAAGCAUCGAUCACUGUUUGAAGGUACUGCCUAAAAAGAAAAGAUUUCACUCUUGCCAGUCGCCUUAAAUGAUAAAAACUGGACUUUACCACUGCUCUAAUUUGGCUGUCCAAUUUAAAAUCACUGUCCAACUUAAAACCAAGGUCAGGUUUAAAAUAAACUUCCAGGGGUCCCAAAUCUACAGAGGACGACUCACAGGGAUCACUGGGUCCAAACACUAACACCUCUGUUUUCUUUUCAUUAAAAUUUAAAAAGUUUAAAGCGAAACAAGCUUUAAUGUCAUCUACUGUGGCUUGCAAAAGUAUUCGGCCCCCUUGAACUUUUUCACAUUUUGUCACAUUACAGCCACAAACAUGAAUCAGUUUUAUUGGAUUUCCACGUGAAAGACCAAUACAAAGUGGUGUACACGUGAGAAGUGGAACGAAAAUCAUACAUGAUUCCAAACAUUUUUUUACAAAUAAAUAACUGAAAAGUGGGGUGUGCGUAAUUAUUCAGCCCCCGUUGGUCUGAGUGCUAUUCCUUAGCUAUUCCGAGUUGGCCGAAUAGCUAAGGUUCGGGAAAGGC
Molecule: RNA transcript, 5183 nt
Organism: Pelmatolapia mariae (spotted tilapia)
Lineage: Eukaryota; Metazoa; Chordata; Actinopteri; Cichliformes; Cichlidae
Gene name: V-set domain-containing T-cell activation inhibitor 1-like
Exons: 5
Source: RefSeq, a predicted model, not a curated record